UCUUCUCGUAGUGAUGUUCGGC
Molecule: non-coding RNA, 22 nt
Filed under: Arabidopsis thaliana (thale cress)
Lineage: Eukaryota; Viridiplantae; Streptophyta; Magnoliopsida; Brassicales; Brassicaceae
Source: RNAcentral